AGUAACGACAAUGCGAGUGAAAAACUCGCACGCUGAAAGACCAAGGGUUCCAGUCCAACGUUAAUCGGGGCUGGGUGAGUCGACCCCUAAGGCGAGGCCGAGAGGCGUAGUCGAUGGGAAAUUGGUUAAUAUUCCAAUACUUCUGUUUAAUGCGAUGAGAGGACGGAGAAGGUUAAGUCAGCCUGGCGUUGGUUGUCCAGGUGGAAGACAGUAGG
RNAcentral lists this ribosomal RNA (215 nucleotides) under Chaetoceros curvisetus. Its description in RNAcentral is "partial Bacterial large subunit ribosomal RNA". It matches the Rfam family "Bacterial large subunit ribosomal RNA", at positions 1305 to 1524 of the family's 2925-position model. The record is from RNAcentral. Lineage: Eukaryota; Bacillariophyta; Thalassiosirophyceae; Chaetocerotales; Chaetocerotaceae.